This 501-nucleotide ribosomal RNA is filed under the name uncultured bacterium. Its description in RNAcentral is "partial 16S ribosomal RNA". It matches the Rfam family "Bacterial small subunit ribosomal RNA", at positions 30 to 523 of the family's 1533-position model. The record is from RNAcentral.
AUUGAACGCUGGCGGCAGGCUUAACACAUGCAAGUCGAGCGGGGGGAGGUAGCUUGCUACCGGACCUAGCGGCGGACGGGUGAGUAAUGCUUAGGAAUCUGCCUAUUAGUGGGGGACAACAUCUCGAAAGGGAUGCUAAUACCGCAUACGUCCUACGGGAGAAAGCAGGGGAUCUUCGGACCUUGCGCUAAUAGAUGAGCCUAAGUCGGAUUAGCUAGUUGGUGGGGUAAAGGCCUACCAAGGCGACGAUCUGUAGCGGGUCUGAGAGGAUGGUCCGCCACACUGGGACUGGGACACGGCCCAGACGCCCACGGGAGGCAGCAGUGGGGAAUAUUGGACAAUGGGGGGAACCCUGAUCCAGCCAUGCCGCGUGUGUGAAGAAGGCCUUAUGGUUGUAAAGCACUUUAAGCGAGGAGGAGGCUACUUUAGUUAAUACCUAGAGAUAGUGGACGUUACUCGCAGAAUAAGCACCGGCUAACUCUGUGCCAGCCGCCGCCGUAA